GACCAGACUCCUACGGGAGGCAGCAGUGAGGAAUAUUGGUCAAUGGGCGGGAGCCUGAACCAGCCAAGCCGCGUGAAGGAAGAAGGCGCCAGGCGUCGUAAACUUCUUUUGUCGGGGAACAAAGGGCGCCACGCGUGGCGUUGUGAGUGUACCCGAAGAAAAAGCAUCGGCUAACUCCGUGCCAGCAGCCGCGGUAAUACGUAGGGGGCAAGCGUUAUCCGGAUUUACUGGGUGUAAAGGGCGUGUAGGCGGGAGUGCAAGUCAGAUGUGAAAACUAUGGGCUCAACCCAUAGCCUGCAUUUGAAACUGUACUUCUUGAGUGCUGGAGAGGCAAUCGGAAUUCCGUGUGUAGCGGUGAAAUGCGUAGAUAUACGGAGGAACACCAGUGGCGAAGGCGGAUUGCUGGACAGUAACUGACGCUGAGGCGCGAAAGCGUGGGUAGCGAACGGGAUUAGAUACCCCCGUAGU
RNAcentral lists this ribosomal RNA (468 nucleotides) under uncultured bacterium. RNAcentral's name for it is "bacterial SSU rRNA". It matches the Rfam family "Bacterial small subunit ribosomal RNA", at positions 329 to 794 of the family's 1533-position model. The record is from RNAcentral.